Molecule: ribosomal RNA, 243 nt
Filed under: Triticum aestivum (bread wheat)
Lineage: Eukaryota; Viridiplantae; Streptophyta; Magnoliopsida; Poales; Poaceae
Description: partial small subunit ribosomal RNA
Source: RNAcentral
AUGGUGAUCCCUCCACCAGACAGGGCAGCUAGAAUCGUCAGUUUUCUCAAGCCCAACCUUUUGAGGAUGGAUUUCUCGAACAAGUUUGUGACCGCCCAGGUGAUCCACACCCCAACAACAACUGUCCCGUGUUCUGCGAGCUCACAGGAGAAGCUGCUGAGAUCGCACAUAGAGCAGAAGUACCAUGGGAAAGUCACGGCUGUUAUAGAUUCUGUCGGAGAAGCUGGUGUCAAGUUGUUGUGA